UGCCAGCCGCCGCGGUAAUACGGAGGGGGCUAGCGUUGUUCGGAAUUACUGGGCGUAAAGCGCACGUAGGCGGACUACUAAGUCAGGGGUGAAAUCCCGGGGCUCAACCCCGGAACUGCCUCUGAUACUGGUAGUCUUGAGUUCGAGAGAGGUGAGUGGAAUUCCGAGUGUAGAGGUGAAAUUCGUAGAUAUUCGGAGGAACACCGAUGGCGAAGGCGACUUCCUGGGCCAAUACUGACGCUGAGGCGCGAAAGCGUGGGUAGCAAACAGGAUUAGAUA
This 279-nucleotide ribosomal RNA is filed under the name uncultured bacterium. RNAcentral's name for it is "partial 16S ribosomal RNA". It matches the Rfam family "Bacterial small subunit ribosomal RNA", at positions 506 to 784 of the family's 1533-position model. The record is from RNAcentral.